CGUUUCUCCUCUCCUCAUCACCGGAUCUGGGAUCAAGGAGAUCUGUUGCUCUAGGCUUGAUCUUAGAGGUUUCGGCCACCACAGCUUCAAUUGGGGAUUGGUUCCUUCAUCGGUUCUAUAAUCAACACCAGUGAUUGAAGUGGAAGAGGUAGCAGGUAAAGGAUUUAUGGAGUCGCCUGGAGAUCCUGUCCGCCAGUUC
Long non-coding RNA from Zingiber officinale, 199 nucleotides. RefSeq lists it as uncharacterized. Lineage: Eukaryota; Viridiplantae; Streptophyta; Magnoliopsida; Zingiberales; Zingiberaceae. The transcript has 3 exons. The record is from RefSeq and is a predicted model, not a curated record.